CAGGUUUAGAGAGCCUUUACACACGAAAGAAAGAACGGUGGUUUGAUUCAUUCUGAAAAUUGCCACAUUCAGUUCUUCAACCCAUGGUAAUGUUGGAAGAUUAGUGUACAUAUAAUUAUAAUAGGGAGAAUAGUGUACAAUACUAGGCUAUUGCCUGCACUAACCAUGGAACUGUGUGAUGUCACGGCCAAGUACUGUGCGGUGCGUCGGGUUCAAACUGUUACGGCUUGGUCUGCGCUCUGCUCCAUAACGAUUUAAUUAGCCUACGUGUCUUUAAAAAAUAUAUAUAUUAUCAACUGUUUCCACACGGCCAUGACCGCAUUUACAGAGGAAGCAAAUUAAGAACGAUGGAUGGAGCGAAAUGUGUUGAUGCGGAUCAUUUUCCCCUACUUUCCCACAUGGCGUGUGGAUGGAGAGAAUGAUCUCACUGCUGUCCUGGCAUCUCUCAUACCUCAGCUACUGCCUUCCUCCCUCCAGCGCAGCUAGAGGACCCAGACAGCUCGACCUUUAUGAACCGUUAAUUAACAAGUCAAAAUAUAUCCCAUGAAAAAAACGCCACUGCUUUACGGCAAAGCUAACGCUGGAUGACCCAGACUUGAAAAGCCCAGGGAUAGACGGCUCAAAGAUGAAAGCAUUGUGACGGUCAACCAGGGCAGGGAUAAAUGAUGAGUUGGCAGAAAAGGCCUGGAGAAGGCUUCCUUAUGCAACACAGCGGACUGAGUGGCAUGGACUGGUAAAGGUUAAAUAUAUCCAGUCAAGUGUCACAAAAUCCAACUUGAUUGUUUCACUGUGACCUGGUUUUGUGAUUCAUCCUUUUUUAAACCAAGUUUUAUUCUGAAAGCAAAUUCAAACUUGGUUUAAACAAGGAUGAACAACAAAAUAAGUUAAAUUUGAUUUCAGCUCCCUUCCACUCUUUUAAACAGUAAGAUUUAAGCCAGAGGGUAUUUCUCACGGUGCAUUUCAUAUAUGCAUAUGUACAUUGCAGAUGCUAUUAAGUUUUGUGUUCUGCCAAAGACUGGUGAGUCAGUGGUGCAGCUCUGUACAUUUGAGUAUGCAUGCAGCAUACUGUUGUUCAGCAUUGAGCAAAUGUGCAUUAGUGCACUUUCCAGAUGAAUGAAAUAAAAAAAUGUUAAAAAAUUAUGCAUUAAAUGGAAUGAAAUGUAUGUAUUCACUACUAUAAGUCGCUCUGGAUAAGAGUGUCUGCUAAAUGACUAAAAUGUAAAACGGACAGGGAGUGUGGCUUGAACACUCAACCUUCUGUCCCGAAGCCCACCGGACCAUCGACUGUGCCACAAAAGCAUGCUGAAGUGGCAGAGUUGAUAUCUGCGCUUAAAACAUAGGGACGCUACAGUACAGUGCACUCGGAAAGUAUUCAGACACCUUAACUUUAUCCACAUUUUGUUACGUUACAGCCUUAUUCUAAAAUUGGUUAAAUUGCUUUUUUUCCCUCCUCAAUCAACUACACACAAUACCCCAUAAAAAAUAUGACAUUUACUUAAGUAUUUAGACCCUUCACUCAGUACUUUGAAGCGCCUUUGGCAACGAUUACAGCGUUGAGUCUUCUUGGGUAUUGCGCUACAAGCUUGGCACACCUUUAUUUGGGGAGUUUCUCCCAUUUUUCUCUGCAGAUCCUCUCAAGCUCUGUCAGGUUGGAUGAGGAGUGUUGCUGCACAGCUAUUUUCAGCUCUCUCAAGAGAUGUUUGAUCAGGUUCAAGUCCGGGCUCUGGCUGGGCCACUCCAAGACAGUCAGAGACUUGUCCCAAAGCCACUCCUGCGUUGUCUUGGCUGUGUACUUAGGGUCGUUGUCAUGUUGGAAAGUGAGCCUUCGCCCCCAGCCUGAGGCCCUAAGCGCUCUGGAGUCAGUUUUUACCAAGGAUCUCUCUGUACUUUGCUCCGUUCAUUUUCCCUCAAUCCUGACUAGUCUCCCAGUCCCAGCAUGAUGCUGCCACCACCAGAGAAGGAGGGAGGUAGUAUGGUAGUGGGAGGACAUGGCAUAGAUGCCAAUAGCUUAAAAGGGACUCCUUUCCUCUGCUUAAGGGCCAGUUAUGAGUGAGAUAACAUAUGGGAUGUGCUAGGUUUGUCAGGUUUAGUAGUAGCUGGCAAUGCACUCCAGAUGCCUCAAGGAAGGACUUUAGGUAGCAGCACCACCCCCAAAACAACACGUUUUGUGUGACUGGGGGUAAUUUGUGAACAUCCUCCAAUCAUCUUUGUUCCCUUUCCCAAUGAAUGAGUAGUUGUAGCAUCCACUGACACACUUCCACACUCAACCCCCUCCCACUCCUUCUCAAAUGAAUAAC
This 2297-nucleotide long non-coding RNA is filed under the name Salmo salar (Atlantic salmon). Its description in RNAcentral is "lncRNA (ENSSSAG00000097392.1, ENSSSAG00000104732.1)". The stretch from base 1164 to 1217 matches the Rfam family "UnaL2 LINE 3' element". Lineage: Eukaryota; Metazoa; Chordata; Actinopteri; Salmoniformes; Salmonidae. The record is from RNAcentral.